GACGAACGCUGGCGGCGUGCUUAACACAUGCAAGUCGAGCGGAAAGUCCCUGGUUUUGUGGGGUGCCCGGGUGGUAACCGGGUGAGACACACGUGAGUAUCCUGACUUUGACAUUGGGAUUACUUCUGGUAACUGGGGCUAAUACCGGAUAGGAGCUCCUGCUGCAUGGUGGGGGUUGGAAAGUUUCGGCGGUUGGGGAUGGAAUCGCGGCUUAUCAGCUUGUUUGUGGGGUCGUGGCUUACCAAGGCAUGGACGGGUAGCCGGCCUGGGAGGGGGGCCGGCCCCAUCGGGACUGAGAUGCGGCCCAGACUCCUACGGGACGCAGCAGUGGGGAAGAGUGCACAAGGGGCGGAACCCAGAUGCAGCAACGCCGCGUGCGGGAAGACGGCCAUCGGGUUGUGAUCCACUUUCCCCUGUGACGAAGCGAGAGUGACGGUACUGGAUAAAGAAGCACCGGCUAACUACGUG
This 468-nucleotide ribosomal RNA is filed under the name uncultured bacterium. RNAcentral's name for it is "partial 16S ribosomal RNA". It matches the Rfam family "Bacterial small subunit ribosomal RNA", at positions 28 to 507 of the family's 1533-position model. The record is from RNAcentral.